GAGCGCUCGGCGGCGGCGGGGGCCGGAGGAGGCGGCGCGGCGGAGCCUCGGUGGCCUGGGACGCUCCUCCUAGCGAGGGCCGCCGCCCGCCUCCGCCUGGAGCUCCCUCGCCCCGGCCGGGACCGGCCGCCACUUCCGGCGGUUCCUCUGGGACGCGCUCACCUGGGACGCGUUACCUGCCUCCGGGCACCUGGGCUGCAGGAUGAAGGACCGGCUGGAGCAGCUGAAGGCGGUAAGUCCCGCGAAGCCGGGGGCUGCGGGGCGCGGCCGGGAGGUGGAGCUGCGUGGGGGGGGGGCCUUCUCUUUGCUCCCCAGGUCCAGGCUGGAGGGCCGCCGAGCGCGAGGCCUGCCCUCUCCAGCCCCCGCAGCAUCCCGCGCAGGUUCCUCACCCUUCCUGGUCCUGCAGGGUCAUGUGCUCCGUGAUUCAUCGUCCAGCAGCGAUUUCCCUGACCGCCUCUCACCUUCCCACCCCCAGGUGGACUGGCGGGGGGUGCUCGGGCCGAGCGGGGCUCGCGGAGAGGUCCUGAGGGGUCACCCCACAAGUGUCAGGCACCAUAUCCAUAACUGGUCUCCUUCGCCUUCCUGAUUCCCUCCUGGGGGACACUGGACCAUGUUGACUCCUUCCCUGGGAGCAGCUCAGAUAUUCCGGUGACCUCUCCAGCUGUGGGCCAGUUCCAGCUCCUAGCCAUCCGUUGGUGGUCUGUAUUUAACCCGCACCUCCCGGCUCUACCCCCCCACCCCCACCCCGCGGCACUCCCACCCUCCGCCCCCAUUCCUUGGGACAGCUGUGGUCAGAGUAAAGGAUCCUAAGAUUAACCGCCAUGGGCGUUGCUUCACAAAAACUGAAACCAGGUGACUCUUGAGCCUGUUUCCUUGUGUGUCAAGUGGGAAUGUUAGAAGUUUGUUUGAGGAUCAUAAUGGGACAAUAUAGAGAAGCAUUAAAACAUGAAUUUUGGAGUCAGAUAUUCACUGACUCAUUCAAUAAUUAUUGAGUGCGUUCUAUAGCACGGGCCCCGUGUUAAACCUUGGAGAUUCAGUGACGCAGGCUCUACCUUAAUGGAAUUUCAAAUCUUUCCCUUGAUACAGUGUUGUCCAUCUACUUGGAAGCAGCACAUUAGGCUUCAGUCUAAACCUGCAGAAUCUGAUUCUUUAUGAAUCUUCCCAGGUGAUUUAUGAGCACAUUAAAGUUUGGAAAGCACUGAACUGGGUGAUAAGUGGGGCUUUCUCCUGCCCCCCCCCCCUGCUUACUGGCGAUUGCUUAAAGUCCAAGCCUAAGUUAUCUGUAAAAUGAGUAGUUGUGAAAACUAAAAGCAAGAGAGUAUGCAGAAGCACCCUUUGUAUGGUGCAUGCAUAUAGAAUUUAUAAAUGGUAAGUAUUAUGCUAAUAAGUGUAAAUGUCUUUUGGAAAAUAGAAGUGUUAGGGUGUUGCAUUUGUUUUUUUCUCCUCCACCUUUGCUUGGAUGAGAUCUUCAUGACCCUUUCACAUGCACUGGGCAGUAGGGCUGCAGAGGAGGCCAGGCAGCAAGAACAGGGGAACAGUUGCAUACUGUGGGAGCUGUGGGUGUGAGCUCGCCCCUGCCCCAGACUUGCUCUUUGUCAUCUGAGCCUCAGGGCAUCCUGGUUACUUACAGGGCAGAAUUUAUUGUCCCUAUUUUAUAGAUGGAGAAGCUGGAGCUGGCCCUGGGUAGGAGGGAUGCCCCAGGUCAUAGAUCUGGUCAGGGCACAACCAGGCGAGGAACCCAGACUUCUGAUACUCUUUCCUUUGAAGCAUGCUGGUUGAAGAGGCAGAAAGGAAAGAAGGCUUUGAAGAGUUUUGUAUGUCAUAAAAAAGUGCCAAACUGAACUGCAGACAGAGGUGACCCCCUUCCUUAUUCAGGAAAUCCAUUUCCAGAGGAAGAUGCCCCCUGGCCCUUUAAUAGCUCAUUGUCAACAGAGUAAAGAGUCUUAACUGAGCUUUGAGUUCCAAGAAUAAAUGCAGUUUGCUAGUGAAUCCAAGCAGGUCCCUUUGCCUCUGUGCUUUGUGCUUCCUCUUACCCUCUAUAAAAGGAAGCUAAUGAUAUGUUUCUUCCCUUAAACCGUUGGGAGUGUAGUGAAAGUGAGACUGUAGAAGGUGCUGUUAUUGUGGGAGUAUUGUUCUGAAAUCACAGGGUGGUUGCUGUUAGGUUUUGGAGUAGAGAGAUGCCGGGCAGCACAGGGCUAAGAGGGACUGGGUUGCAGGUUCAAAGCCUUCUAAUUGUGACCAUGUUAUUAAUUAGCUGUGUUGCUUUUGCCACUUUACCCUUCUGCUUCUUGAUGCUUCCUUUGUAAAACGAGGACUUUAGUUGAUCCCAGAAGACCCUCCUGGCAUUAUUAAUGGUCUCUGUGGAGACCGUCAGGAUUUGUGUGUGUUCUGGUCUGGAGUCCAUCUCCUCUACCCGCUGCCCCAAGAAUCACCUUCACUGCAACAAGAUAUGUCAGUGUCUUUCUCUGGUUCCUUUUCUCAACCAAAAGUGUUUGCUAAUCUUCAUGAAACGAGAGUAGCCUGUGCAAUGUCUUUCUAAACCCCAGGAAGGGAGGUGGUAAGUGCCUUCAGAUAGCAGGAAGGUUGGCAUGUGAAUGAGAUUAGCUUUGCUCUGUGUAGAUACCAGGGGAAAGUGUGGGGUGGGUGGGUAGAAGUCAGGAAUUGGUAAGAGCAAUUUUACUGUUCAAAGAUAGGGUAGGCUGACUGGAGAGGUGGCAAACCCUCCAGCAGGGUUUCUUUCCUAAGAAGCUUGUUGGGAUGAUAAAUGCUGCAGGAAUUUGAGUAUCUUUUUGAAGGGGAGAAGGUGAACCAGGAGAUUUAGGCCUCCACGAACCCUGAGAAUGUAUGAUCCCAUAAGAUAUUUUAUUGUGAGCCUCUCCUGAGCUUCACUGUUUGUGAUGUGAGUCUGUCUCAAGGCUUUGGAGACCAUAAGGGUUUUCCCUCAGAAUGGCACCUAUAAAGUGGACCUUUAUCCUUUUUCCCUAGCGUCAUUGUGGGGGUGAAAUGAGAUAAUCCAUGACAAUCGCCAACCACAGUAAAUGUGAGUUCUCUGUACUAGGCCCCCUGAGAGUAACAUCCACACUAAAUUAGGGCAUACCUUCCUAAGGCCAUGGUCACAAGCCUUGGUGUACCUUAUCUCUUGCGCUGCCCCUCCUGAUGGGCUCCCUCAGGAGCUUGCUUCUGACCUGGGAGAGGCUUGCCAAGAAUGUACAAUGCCCACAUCCAGCCUUUCUUAGUGGUUUUUCUGAUUUCUCUGUAGGUGAACUUUGAACUUGCUGAGUCUGGACAAUUCCCAGUCUAGGGACCUUCUUGUCUGGUCCUCUUUUCACUCAGCAAACAUUCACUGAGUCACCACUAUGUUCCAGACCCUGCAGUUAGGUGCAGGAGUGGAGUGGCAACUAACACCUAUUUCUGGCCCUUAGCAAGCUCAUGGUCAGGUGGGGAGACGCACAAGAAAUAGGCACUGUGAUACACCAUCCUUGUGGUAGAAGCAGCCACAGGAAGACCUGACUGGCUGGCCUCUGAGAUGGGGAUGAGCAAGGAGGUGGGAUUUCCAGAAGUAAAGCUUUUGAGUUCAGGUCCUUCUUCACGUGUAAUCUACUAUCUUCAGAUGCAUGUAGAGUCCUUUAGGAAGAAAGACCAGGAGACUGUAUUUUCUCAACCACUCUCCCAUGGGUGAGUGCUUCAUGUAUAAACCAUCAAGAACAUAAAAAUUCACGAAGCAUUCACACAGGUGCCUGUGUAUGGCAGCCACUGACUGCCAUGGUCAGAGCCUUUUGACCUUUAUGUGCUUUGCAUCCUGCUAUAUAUGACAUUAAGCAGAAUUAUUGUACAAAGUCCUUGUCUUAAAGAGUAAAUGGCCAUAAAGGGAAAACAAAGAAAUGUAUUUCGUGAAAGAGAACAAAACCCAAAAAAGUCAAAGGUAGAUAAUGGAGAAGCCAGUGAUGUAUGGAAAAGAGGUCUGGGACUUUGGAUCCCCUUGGAGACUGAUCUGUGGAGUGCCUUGGACCCUCCAAGAUCAGCACCAGUGGGCACACUAAUGAAAUCAACUCCCUGGGGCUCUAAAGGGCAGAUUUACUUUUAUUCUCUCUGUCCUGUCCUGUGUCUUGCCCCUUUCUAGUGGGCUGUGCUGUCGUCCUUCCCCAGUGAAGCUCAGGAUGGUGCUGAUCCCUUAGAAGCAGGAAGCUGUGCUUCCCCUCUACCUGACUUCUUCAUGUACAUGCUUACUGAGCCCCUACUCUGCGCCAGGUGCUUCGGAUCAUCACCUAGUCUUGACAUACCAACCUAUCCCUUUGUUGGGAUUCUGUCCUUUAGUGAUAAGAUUUCUUAUUAGUCAGGAUUCCUUCCUCCCCUCCUCUGUCAACCUGGGAGGAUUCAUUUUCUGGGAGAGAUGUUUUGCUGGGAGCAGAGCUGGGAUGAGGGUGACUGACGGGGAUUGAGAAGGGAUUACAGACCCAUCAGCCCGUGGCCGAGAGAAAAUGCUUGGAUGAGAGAAGGGGAUUAAUUUUAUUUUUAUUCCUGUAAGUGUGGGGGAGGGAGGGAUUGGCAGGCGCCAAGGCAGAGAUGUUAUGCAGGAUCUUGUCCUCUCUUCCCUCCAGCACUUCCUUCCCCUCUUUGGUCAGCAUUUAUACCCAUCUCCCCAAAUUCAUUCUUAUAGACAGUGCUCCCUAACUGCAGCCUAGAAUGCUCUCCCUCCGUCCUGCAGUUUGUGUUGACUGUAUGUUGCUUUACAAUUAAAUACUUUGAAGUCAGUCUGGUUUUUACUACCAUGAAGUGGGUUUGAAAACCACCUUCUACUUUUUUUUUUUUUUUUUUUUUUAAAGAUCUGGACUCUGUCUUUAACAGUUGAUCUUCUGUGUUGAAGAUCAAUGAUUCUUUUUGUUGUCACCAUAUCAACUACAGUAAUAAUUAUAAUUUAUUGAGCAGCUACUUUCUAUUGGGCAGCACUUGCGUUAGGUGCCUUGCCUACCUGAUCCUCUCAAUCCAGCAAGGCAAGGCAGUCUUAUGUAUUCUUCCCAUUUUACAGGUGAGGGAGUUGAGGCUUAUGUUUGACAGAGAUCCCCAGCUGGAAAGUGGUGGGAUCAAUAAUUGAGUGAGUCUCUCUUAUAUAUUUGUAUCAUGUCCUGUGCUGUACUAUGAUCAUUUCCCUCACCGCACUUUAUGCUCCUCAGUACAGUGGCAGAUAAUGAUAUCCCCCUGGGUCUCAGGGCCUAGCUCUCUUCCUGGUAGGCGCGUGUUAAACAUUCGUUUGUUGGCUGAUCAACAGCAGCUUAUGCACCCUUAUGGGCCUUAUGCACCUCUUAUUCAUUAUUAGGACUGUUUUUUGUGCUCUAUUCCCUGUGGGUUGGUGAAACUUUACCUGCUUAAAGUGGAACAUUUACUCUGGGAACCCAUAAAUUUCCUAAUGAAGCCAGAAGUCACUGUCCAUCCCCAGGGAUGAAUGAGUUCCAAUGUACCUACCCUUACCUAAACCCUCAGCCCAAGAUGACAUGGAGGGUUGCCUCUUAUUGGAAAGACAAUGAAGGAGAAGAUGUAGGUAUCUCAGUGAAAAUCUACCCUAUCUUAUUUUCCCCUGCAAAAUCCUACUUGUCCUUUAAGGCUGGGUUCCAGUAUCAUCACUGUAUGGACGUUUCCCAGGCUGACCACAUUGACCAUACCUUCCCUGACCCCCACUUGAUUUUUUUGUUGAUAUAUAAAAACAGCCUCAUUGAUAUUGCAAGUUCAGAAGCUGUCUGCCCUGUUAGGUCCAGGACUCUGGAACAGAGCACAGCCCCCACACGCCUCCUUCUCUCCAGCCCAAAGCUUGGAAGACUGAAAACCAGACCAUUCAGGGGAUGAACGGGGUUAUGUUGUCAGUGGAUUUACCUGCAGAUUCUGUAGUCCCUGAGGGGCCUUAUCUCCAGCCUCCUUUAUUUAUUUAUUUAUUAUUUUGUGGUUCUGGGACUUGAACCCAGGGCUUUGUCCAUGCUAGACAAGCUCCCUGCCAACUGAGAUAAAUCCCCAACCCCCUUUUAUUUUAUAUAUGGCCCCUUUUCAGGUCCCUGACCCCUGCUUUUAGGCAUUAACAGGCUAUUUCCAAAGCAACAUUCUGCAGUCUUUGUGUGGAGACAGUCUGAAGUUCAGCCCCCUCCUAAAGAGACUGGUGAAGCGUGCACUAUUUGGGUAUGUUCUGCUGUCUGGGUUAGGGCAGGGCGACUUGGUGUGACAUCAGGUGCCGGUGUUUUUUUUUUGUUUUUUUUUUAAAUCUUUUUGUUUUGGACUAUGUUUCGUUUUACAGAAAAGUUACAAAGAUACUUCAGAAGUUUUUGUCUACCCCUAGCUGGUUUCCCCUAUUAUAACUGGUACAUUAUUAUUCAUUAAAUGCCAGGCUGUAUUUGGAUUUCACUCGUUAUUCCACCAAUGCCCCUUUCCUGUCCUAGGAUCCAAUCCAGGACACCACAUUGCAUUCUGUUGUCAUGUCUCCUUAGCUUCCUCUGGCCUGGGACAGUUUCUCAGUUGUCCUUUGUUUUUCAUGACCUUGUCAGUAUGGCACUGUUUUAUGGUGCUUUGGAAGUGCAUUUCCUGGGGCCAGUGCUGCUGCAGCUGGGGUGGGGGUGGGUUAGCUGCUAAGAGUCAUCACUCCUUGAUGGUUGAGAACAAAGGCUCUGGGGCCAGCAGCCCGGGCCCUCUCCCAGCUGUCCACAGGAUACCUGGCAUCUUUGUGCAUUAGUUUCCUCAGCUGUAGGAUGGCAAGUGUCCCCAGAAGAUUAGCUUGGGGAUUAAACGCCCUGGUAAAUAUAAAGUGCACGUCUUAUAAGGAUCCUUAGCUUACUGAGAGCUUUCAACGAAUGCUUCAUGUUUUAACUGUGAUUUAAGUAUUCUAGAAGGGCCAUGUGGGGAAGGGAGUUAUGGGACAGGAUGAAAGGAAGGUUUGAGGAGAGGUCUGAGAAGGGUGUAAGACAGUGUUCCUUCCUUCCUCCUUCUGUGUCCUUAAGCUGAAUGCUGAGGAGGCGUUGGGGGGGCCAGGUUUGGAGGGUGGAGGAGGAAGAAACUAAAGGGAAGCUGAGUUCUCCAGGAGGAGAAAGAAGAUAUUAUUUGGAUUUGUUUGAAUGGCUCCAGGGGUUGUUAGGAGCACCUGGUUAAAGAGAAUAAUUCUGUAAACAGGGCCCACUGUGCUGACCCCCACAUGCCUUUUUUUUUUUUUUUUUUUUUUCCCCAAGGAGCAAUUUACCUGCCUAAGUGAACAGAAUAGGUCAUAUUGCUCAGCAAACUACUUGUUAACUCCAGGAGAAAUGUAGGCCUGAGAUAAGUUGAUAAAGAGGAACCCAAGUUACCCUGGAGGGGGACUUUUGUGACCAGAUCCUGAAACUCUAGGAGAUCAGGAUAAUUCCUCCUGACCAUAAAAUCUGUAAGAAUGUAUGGUUAGGAAUCCAGUUAGAGCCGUUCAGCCUCCACCAGGGUGACCUAGAAUUGUCAUGGCAAUUGGUACCUGAAAGUCUGAUGUCAUCUUGCUCUCAGUCAAAAGUCAAGAGUUGGACAUGAGUAGGACUCUCUGGAAAUUUUUUGGGGAUCCCCAGUGAGACUGGAAUGUAGGAGAGGCAUGUUGUCCCUUUCCUCUCUGAGAGGACCCACUCUCUCCCUUUAGAGGGUCCCUUUUCCUUUUUACUAUGCCUUCAGUAAAUUCAUGCCUGUUACUCUGAAAGACAUACCUGGAAUCUUUCUGACUUGAUCGUAAGAAUCGGGGUGUGAAGAGGGAUCUUCUCACUGCCUCAGUUUCUCAGACAGCCCUCAGCUCUGUAACAGGUUGAGAGAGAAGGCAGAAAGAAGAUGUGGUCUUUUUACCUGCAAUGGCCUUCUUGUAGGUUUUCUUGGAGUAAGUCCAUCCAGUUUUCAAAAUUUCCCCAAGGAGCUACCUCUGCAAGGAUUCUCUGAUAGGCUUGCAUCUUCCCUGGCUAUGCCUUGUGUCCAGGUGAGGUUGGGCACCUGUCUUCUCCUGGGUGUGCUUAUAUUUUCCUUGUACUGUGUGAUGUCAUCACUCACCAGGUGGUGCUGGAAGGGCCUGUCGGUCCAUCUGCCAUCUGAGACAGUGAGAUCCUGGAGAGCUGGGGGUGUUUGAGGGUGUUUGAGUGUGUUUGUGUUUUUCCAGCGUCUAUACUAUGGCUUAACAAAUGUUAGAUGUUCCAUAAAUACUGUUGGAUGAGUGAACAAACACAUGAAUCUGUUACUUGGCAUGGAACCUUCCUGUGAGUGAAUACUGGGGAUGUGGUGGUUGAGUUCCCUCUCCAAGUUGAUGUAGCAGUGAAUCUUGGAUUGGGCCAAGAGGCUCCAAAAUCAGCUCUUUUUUUCCCCUCAUGAGCUGGGUAAUCCUGGUUGGAUUAACCUUCCUAACCCAGAUUCCUUGUUGGUAAAGAUGACAUCUACCCAGAGGGUCUCUCCCAAUCUUUUCUUUCCUUGUGUUCACUGCUUCUACCCAAAUCUAACUCACGUAUUGAGAAGCAAAAGCAGGUAGGAACUAAAUGACAUGUGGGGAUGGAAUUUGUAUAUAACAAAUAUAAUGCAAGUUUAAGAACUUUUUUAUUUUUUUAUUUUUUGGUAUUGGGUUUUGAAUCCAGGGAUGUUUUAUCACUAAGCUAUGUCCACAGCUCUUUUUAUUUUUUAUUUUGAGGCAAGGUCUUGCUAAGUUGCUUAGGUCCUUGCUGAGUUGUUGAGGCUGGCCUCAAACUUGUGAUCCUCCUGCCUCAGUCUCCUGAGUCUCUGGGAUUGUAGGUGUGAGCCACCACACCUGGCUGAAUAGAAGUUCUUUCAAAAGACACAUAGAAGAAUAAGAAAUAAUGACCCUGUAUUAAGACAAAGAAAAUGCAUAGACUACAAGUCAUGUAUUCUCGGACAGAGAUGUAAUUAGGAAUCACAAUACAAUAAUAAUCCUUCCCAGCUUACCCACCUUGGAAAUUUCAAAACACCUUCCCAUGUAACUCUUGGCUUAAAAAUGAAUCAAAAUAGAAGUGACACUCUAUUUAGAAGUGAAUGCUAAUGAGAGCAGUAAAUAUCAAGUGGUGAGAAUGUAGCCAAAGCAGAAUUUGGAGGGAGCUCUAGUUCUUUAAAAUGACAGUUUCAAAAUAAAUGAAGUAAAUUCCAGUAACUAUGUGAACUUCCCUCUUGCUGAGACACUGGCUAUUACCUUUUGAGAACUGGCAGUUUUAAAAGCAAGGCUCCAUUCUCUACUUAAGGUGGUGUGAACUUGGACGUUUAACAGAGUUUAUGUGCCCAGAGUUGCUCUGAGCAUUUCACAUUUAAUAGCUCAUUUAAUCCUCACAACAAUUCUAUGAGCAGAUUAUUCUGAUCCUGUUACAAAAAAGGAAACUGAGUCAGAGAGUGAUUAAGUAACUCAUUCAAGAGGACACAGCUCCUGAGUGUCAGAGUCAGGCUGUGAACUCUCAAAGUCAGAUGUAUCUCUACAUACAUGCUCAUUUAUAGGAUUAUAUGCAUCAGUAUCUUUUUCAUUCACUCAUGUAGAUUAAUUCAGUUUAGAUCAGUAGACGCUGCAGCGUCCUCUGAAAUAAGCUAGGAUGUGUUACCUGGCCAGACUGGGAGGUGCCUUCAAGUAGCAUGUAAAGGUGUAAGCAGGGGCCCUGGGCUACCACAGAGCAGCCUUUGAAUCCUAAUGAUGCCAUUUAGUAGCUGAAUCACUUCAGAUAAAUCAUUUAACCUAAUUAAGCAAUUACCUUAUCUGUAAGUGGGAAAUUAAAAUUUGUUCCUCAUAGGGUUGAUGUGAGAAUUAAAUAAUUUAUUUGAAACCACUGCCCCCAUCCCCACCUCCACCCCACACUCUGUCUGCUAUGAUUUGUUAUGGCAGAAUGGGUGGAGGGAGUCCUCAGGGACUCUGGCCCGCAUCCAGUUGUCCACUGACUUAAUCUGGUAAUGAGUUUAUUCCUCAGCAUCUUCUCCCACGCAGGGUGAGUUGCUUGCCUUCAGUCUCUCAGCUAGAACAGAAUCUUCAAAGCCAAAGCUGGCUCACCAGGGUCCUAUUGUCUGUCAUUUCCUCUUGGUUCAUCUGACUAGGGUAUUGUGGACGGUAAGAUCAGCACAAAGGGGAAGUGUUCCUUUGGGGAGGGGGUUUCACUGCAACAGAAAACAGUGUCAUGGGGAGAACUGGGCAUUGGAGAAAGGUCAUCUGACUCUUUAAAUGGGAAAUGGAUUAUACCCGGUGCUUUUUGAGAGCCCAUGUGCUCACUCAGAAUUCUUGUCUAUAGACCAAAGAAGAGGGACUGGAAAUCCCAGAUGUAAGGCAGAGGCAGUGUGUGCAUGGCGUGUGUCCAUGUGUGUUGGAACCCGUGCAAGGAAGCGUGGUGUCUUGUCUUUGACCCACAGACCCUCAUCCUAGAGAAGGCAGGUGGUGGGUGUGGGCAGCAGAUGCUGUUGUCCCUAUGAAUCAAGUCUAUCAGGAGAGUCUGGGUUUAUAAAUAAGUCUUUGUUUCCAGAGUGAAGAACUGUUUCAGGGUGGGGAGGAGAAGGCACAGCAUUUUUGGUCACCUGCACAUGGGUUGGGAGGUUCCCGUCUACCACUUCACAGUCCUUUACUAUCCUGCUGUGGGAUGUGAAGGACCAGAUGUCCCCUCCCCUGUGUCCUUUGUUUCACCCAGAGACUCCUUCCUGGGAACUCGUGGCCUUCUGGCUUGUCCUGCCACCCUCUCCUCUGGGGGUCAGGGCACUGAUGGGAAGAAGCAGUCAGAUAGCUGGUGAAGGAGGUAUUCCUCUUGUGGGGUGACUUCCUUUUUCUUUCUUUGUCCCUGUCCUGUCUUUCUGCUCUGAUUUGUAAAAUCCUUAAUGAAAUGCUGGAGAUUUAGACUUGUGGGGCAGCCCUGCUUUCACUUAGGGAGGGGCAGGAGUUCAUCUCCUCUUUUCUCUUCUGGAGGGCACCUAUUUAUCUGCUUCAGUGGUUUUUCUGUUUUCUUUCUUUCUUCCUUGUUUUGACAACCGGACACUUUCUUAGAAUGAAAUCUUGUAUUCACUGUAUAAACAGGUAAAAGUGAAGUUAUGCAGAUUAGAGAGGGAGGAAGACCCAGGAGCCCUGCCUGUAGGCCUCCCCUCCCCCUGACUCCCCUGGGUGGCUUCUGAGGCACACCUGAGGCAUCUUGGGGUUUCCCCAAACCACAGUAGAAAGCUAACCUGACUUGCUGAGAAACUUGAGGUUUAACAAAGACAAGUGUUGUCCCCAAGGCCCACAGCUCCUGUCUCCCAGCCCAGGGUUCUUUCUGCAGAGCUAGACUGCUGCUCUCCUGGCCCCUGGCUGCUCUUGUGAUAGGCUUUGUGCAGGGUACAGUGCCCUAAGAGGCCCCGAGACAGGUGACCUAUUCCUGAACCUUGACUCUGUCGGCAGCUGGGAGACCCUGAAUAAAUUACAGCUUCUCUGAACUGCAGUUGCUUCACUGUAGACUGCAGAUAGGAUUGGAUGACAUGGUGUACAGAAAGCAAGGAGGGUGUUGUGACUACCCAGCACUUUGUAGGGGCCCUACAGGUGGCAACUCUUUUUAUUAACUGAGCUAGUGAAAAGGGGCCUGUGGUCAGAUGGACUGAGGAUGAUGGAGAAGGCAGUUUGAAAGGCAGCACUGAGUGAGAGGAUUGCAGGUUAAAUUGCUUGAGCUUGAGUUCUGGGCCCCUCAGUUCUUCCCACUUUCUGUGCAGAGGGAAGGUCAUAACCUUGGCUGUGAAUUCUCAAACUUGGUGUACAUUUGAGGGUCAAGUGUGGGGAGACACAUCCCCAGCUGGAGCCCAGUGUUGCCUAAGUCAUUCCUAAUAUCUCCCAUCUCUUGACAUGAGAGGCGUCAGGAGGCUGGGCAGGGAGGAAAUGGGUGCUGGGCUCAUGUUCCCCUGUACUGACCCCUUACCCCCACCCCCUCGUGGCUGAUCUUGCAGCUGUUGUAACGUUCCUAUUACCACAUACUCUGAUUCUUUGAUAAUGAUGCUGAAGUUCUCUUCUCAGCUAAGCCCAGUCAUAGGCCUGAGGAUAAAGGGCAUUGUGUGCUUUCCUUGCCUUUGGGGUCCCCAAUGCCCCUUGGUCUGCAAGAGCCACCUGUGUCAGAAAGGAAGGAGCCCCUCCUGGGAUCUGGUAGAGCCCACUCUGUAGGGGAUCCCUGGGGGUAGUUCCAGGCUCAUGUGACUCCAGAUAACAAGUGAUGAUGGCCUCUUCCUGCACAUCUGAUCUGGAUUAAAUGUUGUUUUCUACUUUUGGAAAUAGCAUGCUGCGUGAGGGGGAAAACUCUAGGAGAAGAUAGAAGCUAUUCUGUGUGUGUCAGUAACCCAUUGUUUGGUCCAUUGGGUAAGAACUUUAAAAUAUUAUUUAAUCCUCAAGUAAGUCCUGGCAGGCUGUUUUUAAAAUACACAUUUAUAUAUAUGUAAGUUAUAUAUGUAUGUGUGUACUUAUAUGUACGUAUGCUAUAUAAUUUUAAUAGAGGAAAGAGGCAGGGAAGAGGAGGGUGGCUUUUCAGUGAUUCCUCCUUGUUGGCAUAAAACCCAAGAGUAAGUUUUGGCAGUGUUAGUAGGCAUGCAGGCGGAAGGUGACAGGCAGGUGACAAGUCGAUGGAUACGUAUUUUUUAUGUGCCAGCCUUGUGCCAGGUGCCCUGUAGCUACUAAGUCCUAAGAGAUACUGUCUCUGACCUCAAGUUGCUUAAAAUUGAGGUAGGUCAGAAGUAGAGAUUGCAACCCAUAAAACUCUUAGAUGAAAAUCCGGGGGCAGUUUUGUGGGGUAGAUGUGAUCAAAGAGAGACUGUGAAGAUAGAAUUUGGUUAGCAGAGGAGGCUAAGAGAUGUUCCAGCCACUGGGUAUUUGUAGUGGCAGAGAGGGUGCACAGAAAGCCCAGGAGCAGGAAUGGGUGUGAUGGGUGCAGAAUACAGUGAGAUCAGGUGGAGGGAGAAGGCUCCUGGUGGAGAGCAGGGGUAUGACUCUAAGGCAUAAAAACGCUAGUUUCCAAAGAAUCUUGAAAGGCAGGCUGAGGCCUUUAACUUGACAAGUAACUAUCAUAUAUGGAGAAAGAACUAUCAUAUAUGGGGAUAUAAUGCGAUUAGAACAGAGAGAUAGCCAAAUGGGUGGGAGGCUGUUGCAAUGGUGUGGGGCCCAAUGCUCAGUCAAGGUCCAGUGACAUGCUAUUAUUUCUGUGUCACAGAUGAGGAAAUGGAGACUCAGAUACAGAACCAUGUGUUUAAGUCUCAGUGACCAGCAUGUAACAAGGCAGCAAUGCCUUGGAAUGGAUCUUACUGACACAUACUUGAGGUUUUCCCCUUCUGUGUGCAUCUCCAGAUGACCUUGGAAGAAAGGACACUCAGCAAAAGCUUAUUAACUUUCCUUUCCAGAGGAAGACAGGUUCCUGCUUUUUAGUAAGAAUUGUAGAGAUCUUAUUGGUAGAGGAACCUGAGGAGGCUGAUGAGAAGCCUGAGUGUUGAUGUUUGACCAAGGGAACAUUUGUCUCAAACUUUAGAAAUGAUGGGUAAGUCCAGGCUGCUGAACGCUGCUGAAGUUAAUUAUUUAUUCAGUUAAAAUUAAUGCAAUUUCUGUUAAGUGCCUACUAUGUGUUAAGUACUCAGGGACUAUGUGGGAUCAAUUAAUUCAUGACAACUACAGUACUGAAUUUUAAUUGCAAGGGACAAAGCCAGCUCUGGCUAAUGAACAAAAUGACUGCAUUGGGAGGAUCCUGUUCAACUCACUGAGAGGAUACUGUGGAAGAUCUGCAGACCCUGCUGAAAGCCAGGGGUCACCCUGGACAGGAAGGAGGGUGGCUCUGUUGCAUGCUGCCAUCGGUUGGCUCAGCUCUAUUCACUUCAGACUCCUCUCACAAGUGACAUUCCUCUGGGUGCUCAGGUCACCAUUGAUGGCCUCCCCAGAAUCACAUGGGAUGUGAUUUAGAGGAAGAUUUAUUGAAUGGACAGACAGACACCUCCCCCUCAAACACACACAAAGAAUCUACUUUAGAAGAUACAUAAGGCAAUUCUGAACCACCAGGAGUUUAUCAUUAGAAAAAAUAGAUAAAUAAAGGAAUAAAAAAUAAUAGGCUGUGGCGGUUGCUGUGUAAGCGUUGUACAAAGUGCUUAGGGAGGUUGUAAAUUUUGCAUGGGGGAGGCAUGUGUCAGGUAAGGUACACAAAGGUUGUCUGAACCAAGUUUUAAGGGCAGAGUAAAAUUUUGCCAGUUGGACAAACGCCCUUCAGGAAGAAGCCCUUGGGUGACAGUAGUGAUGUGAAAAAGAAUGUGUGCAGGAAAUACAAGGAAUUCUAAAUGUGUAGACCAUCAAUGUGGGUGGGGCUGGAUCUUAAAGGGCCCUGUGUGUUCUCGUAGGCAUUUUGGGAGUUAUAAUUCUAGCAGAUGAGUGGUCAUUAAAUAACUUUAGGUGGCAGAGGGAUGUGAUCAGUUUCGUUUUAGGAAGAUUUUUGUGGAGGUAUUAGAUCCUACUCCCUUCAAAGUGCCUAUUAAUCUAGGGAUGCUGGUUUUUGCAGAGCAGCCAGAGAGUGAGAUGCUGCAAGAGACAGUCACGAGACUUCUCCAAGGUUGGAGAACCCGAUAUAUCUAUGGGAAAUCCCAGUGACUCCUUGUGUGUGUGUAGGGGGAUGGUAGUGGGUACAGGAAAAAGGCUCCUGGUGGUCUCUUUGCCUGUGGAGUUCUGAGUGUUUGGGUGACGUGUCUUGGGCCAUAGGCUGCUGAAGGUUGUGCAGAAGCAGGCAUAGGGGAUUCCCCUGCGCCACCUGCACCCUCAGUAUCCAGUUUGCUCUUUGUGUUUAUAAGUUUGCAGUGUGCAGUUCAGCAGUGGACUGGGGAGAACAAUCCGGAAGAAUGUAGAAAUAGCCCGGGCCCUUGUUGCGGGGUGGGAAUGUAAUCAUUUCCUUAGCCAUUUGGUGAUUCUGCAGAGGAAGGUGAAUAAAAUUGAGAAAUCUUGGGUCCCCAGAGGUUGCUGGGGCCGGGGAAGGGAGGAGAGUUUCCUUUUUCCUUUUGAACAAUAGCUGACAGGGGACAGCGUAGCACCAUUUCCUUUGUAAUAGGUGGUGUCUAAAAACAGGAAAAUUUUCUUUACUCCAGCUAUGAGAAUCCAAAGUUCAUGCUUUGGAGGAACUGUAGCUAGAAUUUUCUCAAAGGGUCCAGAACCAGUAGAUGGGUUAGAUAGAAUCUGCUUGUCGUUAUGUGGUAGCUGGGUGGCUUUUGGCCAAGUUACUAAGCCUUCGUAUGUUUUAGGUUCGACUAGAGUGAGUUUUCAAAUGCCAUUAUUCAUACCGUCACUGGCAGUAGCAACAAGACCUAGCACUGGGCUGGGGGUGCAUCUCAGUGGUAGAGUGCUCCCCUGGCAUGGGUGAGGCUCCUGUUUGGUUCCCUACCUGGGUUCGGUUAUCCCAUCUGGGUUUGAUUCCCCAGCACCAGAAAAGUAGCAAAUCAUCAAAAUAGCAAAAACCCCUAGCAUUUCAGUGUGUCAGGCCUGUGCAAAAGUGUUUUAUAUCCCUAAAUUCUGUGAGUUAGGUAUUGUUAUUAUCAGCAUCUAACCGAUAAGGCAACCUAUGCCUAACAGGAUGAGUAGCUUACUUGUUUUUCCCUUCUCCCUGUCUGUCAUCCCCUGCAAAAAGUCAGUAGAUUUCAGAUAGUACUACACCAGAGUUUUAAGACCUCAUAGAGCUGCUGUAAGUUUUAAAGGAAAUGAUGUAUAACAAGCUUAACAUAGCUCUUGGGCCUUAGUGAGCAUUCAGUGUUCACUACUUACUGUUUUUUUCUUCUCACUCGGCUCCUUUUUGUCUUUUAUAGAAGCAGCUGACACAGGAUGAUGAUGCCGACGAGGUGGAGAUCGCUAUUGACAACACAGCUUUCAUGGAUGAGUUCUUUUCUGAGGUGGGCAACCUUCCUGCAUUUUUUGGGGGGAGGGGGUGAAUAUACAUAAGGAAACACAGCUUCCUCAGUAAGAGUAAAAAAUCUGGGCUCUUUCAGGGGUGGCAGGCAGUCUUUUGUUGGGGUGAGAGGGCUGAAAAUGUUAGAGGGGAGUCUCCAGUUCUUGUGAGAAACUGGAAUCUUCGAGUCAUCAGAGGGUAAAUUACAUGUAAUUGAGGAUAUGCUUUUAAAAUUGUAUGCUACAUGACAGCAUUUUAAUGAUAUCCUUUCUUGCCAAAGCACAUAAUUUAAAUACAUCAACCAUAGGCUCACAGCCAUGAGUGUUAAAAUUGAAUUUCAUCUCGAGGCCUGAUUCUGAUAAAUCAAAUUUGUUGUCUCUAAACAUUUUUAUGGUCCCUUUGACCAUAAAAUUAAUUUAAUUAAUUUUAGCAGUAACAGAGAAACCAAGAAUCUAGCAGUUUAUUUUUGUAAAGUUUAACAGGGGCCAAAAUGGGUUGCCCAUGUCUACAAAUUCACCUGCUUGUUGAUCUUGAAGGCCUUAUAGGGAUGUUGAUAGGUAGUGAUGGAAAAGCAGUGGCUUUGGAGCCAAAUGAACUUGGGCUCAAAUGUCAGUCUGCUUCUGUCCAACUGUUGAUUUUGUGAGCUUUCCUUAACAUGCUGAACCCUGGUUGGAGUCUGUCCUCAUCUAUAAAUUGACAUUGAUAAUAUCAUAAUUCCUUAUAGGGUUAUCAUAACAAUUGAGAUAAUGCUUAGAAAACAUCCAGAGUAUCAUCAGGCCUAUGUGUGCUCAAUGAAUAGUAUGUUAAAAAAGAAGAGGGAAAAAAACCCAACAAACCAGAAAGCUUAUUGUUGCUGAAGUUUCUGCCAUUGUAUAAUGGUUUCUUUAUUUAGGUCCCCCCCACUCACCCCCCAAAAGAAAAGAAGAGGCAUUGUGUUUUUUUUGCAGGGAAAAUUUGGGCACUGCCCAUCAUCUGGAUUGUGGAUGUGGAAACGUAGCUUCCAGAUUUCCUCUAAAUGCAGUGGAGUGGGGCUUGACAGUCAUGCCCAUUCAUCUGCUAGAGUAAUAACCAGGCUCAAGAGCAAACUUGAGCAUGUAUGUGCUGACCUGAUUGGGAAGUGUGCCGUAAACCUCCACAGCUCCACACCCAACUUGUGGGUGGGUCUGUCCCUUUGGUCGAGGAAGUCAUGGUGAGAUCAAACAACGCUGGGCUUUUGUGAAUCCAGUGUUAUUCCACUUGUGGAUCAUGGAGGGCAAAUGUCCUCUAUUCAUUGGGGGUUGGGUGAGAGGAGUAGCCUUCAGGAGACAUUUGCAGAUUCUGUAGUUUGUCCCUAAUUCUUGCCCUGGAGAGCCACACAUAUUAAAGAAUGUCUUCCCUAAGAUGAAGAAUCUCCUCUAGUAACUUCUUGCUCUUUCAGUGGGUGGGUGGGUCCCUGGGAGUCAGUGUUCCUUAUGAGGUGGGAAGAUGGUGGGCUUUGACUUGUGAGGCAUGGUUGGAGUCUGUCCUCAAGCAUUUUGUAGCAGUGUGACCUUGGUUAAGAUACUUAACCCGUUUUAGCUUUAGUUUCCUGCUCUGGAAGUCCCUUGACUUGUCAGCCUGUCCCUCUCAAGGCUGUUGGGAGAGUCACAUGAGCUCAUGAAUCUGGCAAACAUUCUCUGGACAGAAAAGUGCCCCAUGUGGAAGAAAGGUGUUUGGAAGAGGCCCCUGAGAGAGGUAGUGUGACCACCUCCAGGGCUGUUUGGAUUCCUGUUGCUUUCUUUGUGUUAAAUGCUUUUUGAUCACUUAGGAGAAAAAAAACAAAAACAAAAAACAAGGAAACCCCAUCAUAUUUAGGGCAGAGAAGGGGACUGCAUGGUGAGGUGAAAAGAGCACUGUGUGUCAUGAACUGUGUGAUAUUGGUCAUGUUCCAUAAGGUCUCCAUGUCUCAGUGGGUUUAUCUGUGAAACAGAGAGAAAAAUAUUCCAAGCUUUGUUGGGCAUGAGAAGAGCUGACACUGGGAAAGAGCUUAGAAUGGGGUUAGGCAGUGUUGCUUCCCUCCUUUCUCAUUUGCAAGAGCCCAGAGAGGAAAGAUGCUGGGGGGUGGGGGUGGCACAGAGGAGAGAGGGAAUGGUCACUGGAAGAGAUCCUGCAGGCAGUGGUGAACAGAUCCUGCUCUAAAUCUCAGCUCUGCCCAUUGGAAAAGUUGUGUAGCUACUUUAAACUCCAGUUUUCUCUCAAAUGGGAAUAGUACUGCAAUCUACUAGUUGUUAUGAAUAUAAAAUGAGAAAGUAUCUGGAUGUACCCAGCACAGUGCCACCAAAUUUUAGUCCUCAUCAUCCUUUUGUCCCCAUAUACUCAUGAGUAAGCAGACCAUAGAGUUCAUUUUAUAGAGCAUGGCUUGGAAAUAUCCUUCAUAUUGGGAUAAAGUACUUUGGAUAAUAGGGAUUUGGGGAAGUGAAGGAGUUUCCCUCUGUGUAUGACUGAGGAACCUGCCCAGUGUACCUUAGUUAGACACAGCUAACAAAGAUAGCACUCUUGUGAUAGACUUUGCUUUUUGGAUUGGUGCCAACAGGACACCUUUGAUUAGGUCCUUUGCUGAGAACUCAUAGUGCAAGUCAUGGGUUGGUCAUAGAGGCACAUGCAAGAUGCAGAUGAAAUCAUGGACCUCAAAAUAUAUUUUCAGAAUGUGCUUUGCAGUGUAAAAUUUGAAUGGCUUCUCUGUCUUCUCAGUUGUUAAAGAAUUGGCCCUUGGGUUUUCAGGCUACUUUGGCCAAUCAACCCAGGCCUCGUAAAUUAUAAACCCUGGACUUUGUCUAAUCUGCAGUUUUCUGUAUUUCCCGUGGUCGUUUGCUCAGUUGGCAGAGAAAGCAAAGUUUUGGAGGAAAUAGACCUGCCUCUGAAGGCAGCGGUUUAUUGUUCUGUGUUCAUCCAACCAUGCUGACCACCUCCUGAUGGUGUAGUAGGUGCUGGGGUGCAGUAUUCUGUGUGACAGGUCCUUGCUCUCUGGUGUGUUUCUAUCUGGUGAGGGUGAUAGAAAUUUUUAAAAAGUUAUCAUAUUGUAGUGGAAAUAUCAAAAAGACAUUGUGGGAGCACAGAAGAAGGAGUGUGGCCUUCUGCCUGGAGGAAGGUGGGCUUCUGGGGCUCUUAUCUAGACUUGCACCUCAGAUCUGCCUGGGAGCUUAUACACACCCAUGCCCGAUUCAUAGAGACUGGGAUGGCUCAGACUUGGAUUUUUCAUUUCUUGCAUCUGAUUUUGCCACCUACUGCAGCAACGGACAACUGCAGAGUGGUGGGGAGACUUGGAGGGUUGUAAGUAAGGAAAUAAUGGGAUCGGAGUGUGUUUUAGACAAAUCAAUCUAUGGCAGUUUGUGGAGGAAAGGAAACUCCAAAAACAGAAAUACCAGCAGAUUGGCCGAUGCAGCAAAGCAUGGGGAAAAGAGUCGGGCUUUGGUCUGGAUCUGUCAAUCUGAGCAGUAGCAUGGGGCAUCAUUUAGGGAUGUUUUGACUAACUGUUGCUUAAGCAGUAAAGAGAUGUAAUUAUUUCACGCAUGGAGAAGUUUCCUAUUAGGGAUGUACUGGGGCUUCAGGCCAGCAUCUCUGUGAUCCUUUGGGAUUUUCCCUUAGGGUUAAGAGAACAAGUCUGUUCUGAUUAUCAUUGCUUUAUAACAAACUACCCCAGUGUUUAGUGGUGUAAAACAACUAUUUUGUUAUGCUGACAGAUCCUUUUGAUUGGGUAUUUGUCUAGGGCACAGUGGGUGGUGUAUCUCUGUUCUACAAUACGUGGAGCAUUGGUUGGGAAGAAUUGAACUACCAGAGGCUAGAAUCUAAUAGAAACUUCAGUAUUCUAAUAGUGGGUGCCUGGACUGGGGUGACCAAAAAGAAAAGCUCAGUAGAAACUGUCAACCAAAGCCCUCAAACGUGGCCUCUGUGUCUAGUGUUCCUCAUAGCAUGGAGCACUCAGGGUUGCUGGACUUGUGACAUGGGGUUCAGGGAUGCAGGGCCAGUGUUCUGGCAAUGAAACUUACGUAGCGCAGUCACAAGCCUGCCAGAUUUGAGAGAGAAACCCAGGGAUCCUACCUCUCAAUGGGAAGAGCAUUAAGGAAUUUGUGCCCCUAUAUAAAACUACCCAAGAGUCAAAGCUCUGUUUGACAUCACCCAGCGUCAGCAUCACUAGCAAAAAAAAAAAAAUGGGAAUUGCUAGAAAAGUCUAAGAAUUCUUUUUAUCAGGGAGGAGAGCUAUCUAAUGGUCAAACUGACUUCCUCUGUGGCUUACUCGCUAUCACUGGGUCAUGUGGUCAUGACCAUCCCUAGUUGGAAGGGUGCCAGGAAAAUAUGUACUUAGUAAAGGGAUAAGAUUACUAGGAUCUCUAUAGUGCAGGUCAAGAUCCAUCAUCUUGGGCUGGCAGCAUAGCGGCCAAAACAGAAUCAGAAUUCUGUUAAAAAGAAAAAGAACAGCAGUCGAGGGGCUCGCUCUUUGGUGGGUCAAAGUACUUGUCUUGGAACACAGUGUGGGAUGCAGAAAGUCUCUGUGAUGAAGAGUGUUUGGGAUUCCUGUUCUUCUCUCUUAGAAAUUUAAAAUGCACAUUAACUUUUCAAAGCCUCCAUGAAGUCCUGUUGUGAGGAAACCUGCUCACCUUGGCUAGCCCAGCAUUGAGUUUUUCACCCUUUGUGACAUGGAACUUCUGUUAACAAGGAUGAAUGAAUACACUUUGGAAAAUGCUAUUAGAGAGUUUUCUUUUUUGGAUUCUAUCUUAGCUUGGGCUGCUGUCACAAAGUACCAUAGACUGUGUGGUUUAUAAAGAAAAGGAAGAAAUAAAUUUAUUUUCCACAGUUCUCUAGCCUGGAAGUGUGAGCUCAAGGUGUCAGCAUGACUGGACUCUGAUGAGGGCCCUCUUCUAGACUGUGGACUGCUGACUUCUUGUUGUAUCCUCACGUGAUAGAGAGCAAAGCUAGCUUUGGCUUCUUCUUAUAAGGUCUCACUCAUGAGGGCUCCACUCUCAUUACCUAAUUACCUCCCCCUCCCCAUAUAUGAUCACAUUAGUUAGGCACCAACAUGAAUUCACUGGUGUGUGUGUGUGUGUGUGUGUGUGUGUAUAAGAAACAGUGAAUCCAAAAUAGGUGCACUUAAAAAAAUUGGAGACUGUUUUACAGGAGUAUAUGAAGCAUGUUUGUCUCUUGAGGUUGCUUAUGUUCAUUUAUUUAUUCAACAGACAUCUACUGAGUGACAUCCAUGCUUGACAGACACAGUGGUGGAUAUCAAGUAGUCAAAGAUGAGAAACCCAACGUCCCAGCUCUGGAAGAGGUCCAAGUCAGGAUUAGAGAGUGUGGGCAAAGUGCUACAGAGCCUAGAGGGGGGUCCAAGGUGGGGUGGGAAACUGGAGCAAUGCCUGGCUAGAGGAUCUGCCAGGUGACCAGUCUUGAAACAUAGGGAUUUGCUAGUAAGCUUGAUUUUUGUUAGAACUAAGAAUCUCCAAGUGGUUGGAAUAAGAAAUCUAAGCAUUAGAUCGCACUCAGCAGGUUAAAUAUUUUUAGCAUUUUAAAUAGGAUAUUUGGAUGAUAGGGACCAAACGAGGCAAGCGGGCACGCUCUUCGUUUCUGGUCUCUUUCUGUAGUCAGGCAGGAAGCCCUGGCCAGGCAUUUGCCUGUGUGCUCUCAGGCCUAUCACCCACCCUUCCUGUGCUCUGUUCUCUGUUGCAGAGAAUUAUGUUUUGCAGGUUCCUUCACCAACUUGCUCUUGGUAUGUUCGACCGAGGGCAGUGCUAGGGAGUGAAUAUUUGUGCUCGCCCCAUUCAUAUUUUGAUUUGGGAUUUCCUAGCCUCCAGAACUAUGAGAAGUGUGUGCUUGUUGUAGAAGUCAUCAGGUCUAGGGCAUUUUUGUUAUAGGAAUACUAAUAGGUUGGACAGGGAAGUGCUGGCUGUGUCUUCUCCCCAGACUCUGCCUCCAUGGCCCCAGUUCUGGUGGACUCCACCAAGGUCAGGCUCUCGUGGCCCCACCUUCUUUGUGCCUCCAGCUGUUGCUGCUUGUUUUCAGAGUGCCUCACCAUCCUCUGUUGGGCUUUUUAGCCUUUGUUCCCAGUGUGAAAAACUCCCUGUAUUAUUUUGGCUCAAAUAAUUACAUAAGUUUUUGUUUUCCUGACUGAAUUUUGAGUAACGCAAACCCCAGAUAUACUUAAUUUGAGAUUAUGGUCUAAGAAAACUUGUUUUUGCUGGUCAAUAUAACUCUGAGAUCAUUCUUUUCUUUUCAUUCAUAAAAAAACAAGUUGAAACACUAGUCCCAGUCUUUAUAAAACCCCCUCGGGACUUGACUGUUUGUUGCUUGUUUGACUAAGGUGACUUCUCCCUCCCUUCUCAACAGUGUUUGUUUUCUAAAGCAAAGAAGCAAGGCCAGGCGUGGUUGUGCACCCUGUAACCCCAGCUGCCCGGAGGCUGAGGCAUGAGGAUCAUAAGUUCAAGCCCAGCUUGGACAAUUUAGCAAGACCCUGUCUCAAAAUAAAAUGGAAGAAAGGGCUGGGCAUGGAGCUCAGUUGAAGAGCACCCCAUGGUUCAGUCCCCAGUACCAAAAAUCAGUCAGUCAGUCAAUCAAACUUAACAAAUCCAGAGGACUUGACUGAGAAGCUCAAAUAUAAGGAUUGUUUUGGAUUAUGCCUUUUAUUUUUGAUACCAGGGAUUGAACUCAGGAGCACUCGACCACUGAGCCACAUCCGCAGCCCUGUUUUGUAUUUUAUUCAGAGACAGGGUCUCAAUGAGUUGCUUAGUGCCUCACCAUUGCUGAGGCUGGCUUUGAACUUGACAUCCUCAUGCCUUGGCCUCCCAAGCCUCUGGGAUUACAGGCGUGCGUCACUGCACCUGGCUUAUGCCAUUAUUUUUGAGGAAAAGUAAAGGUGUAUGAAUUGUAAAAAGGAGGGAUCAUUUAUUUGACUACAGCCAUGCUACUUUUGUCAUCUUAGAAUGGGUACAAAGUUAAAUUUUCAGUACAUAAAAAUGCAUGAAUUAAUACCCACCUAAAGGUACAAGAUACAGGGGCAUUUAGGGGAAGUAGAGACUAAUUCUAGGACCAGAAACAAAGCUUUUUGCUUCAUCUUCCACCAUGCAACCUGCUAGUUUCCAAAGCAGCACUUCCUCUGCUUUUCAUCGCCUACCUGGAUCCUACUGGUUAAUUAAGUCCAGAGAAAGGCCAUCCAUGCCUUCAAAAUAAGUACUUCCUUUUAGCUAGAUGAUAGUGGUUAGUAUAAUAUGGUUAUUACAAUUGGCAACACCCAACAAGUGAUUGACUUGCUGCCUUUAGAUUUCCUUGAGUGGCUAUCGAUGACAUCAGUGCCUUGUUAACAUUACGAUUGUCUAAAGGAUUAAACGAGACAUGCUUAUGGCUGGCAUAUAGUAAAUAUAAGGAAAUUGCUGGCAACUUUUGUAAAAUAUCAGUCAUCAUCUAACAUUUAUUGAGCAUGGUGUGGGAGUGGGAGUGUAUUUUGUGUUAAGAAUUUGACCUAAGCGUGGUCAAGGUCAUAAAAAUGCUGAAAGAUGGAGCCAAAACUUGAACCUAAUCUGUUUGAUGAUAACUUAUUUUCUUCAAUCCUAUGUUAUCUGGAGUCCCAUAUUACUGACAGAAGGCAUUGGAAACGUAUUAGCUGUAGCAUGGUGAUCAAAAACCAAAACAUGGUGAUUAAAACAAACAAACAAACCCACUUUUGGAUCGGUUCCCUCCAUCAGCAGUGUUUCUUGAAAGCUCAUUGUGUAAAAAGCUCUCUAUAAUGAAUUUUUCAGGACAAAGAAGUAAGGCACAUGAUGUCUGUGAAAUGUGGCUGAACCAGUCUCACAAAACACGGGUUGAACAUGCAUGUUAACCUGAUGUAAGUGGAAUGCACGUGGACCAGGGAGAGAAGAGGAGCCUUCUAUAGUGGUUCUUGCAGGCUUACCUGAUUCACGAGACAGGGUUUGGUACCUAAUAGAUGGCUGGGUUUAAACCUUAGUUUUGCCUGUUUUUGUAGCACGACCUGGAGUAUGUUUCUCUACCUCUUUGAGCCUCAGUUCUUGUGUAUGAAAAGGAGAUAGUGAUGGUGACCUCACAGAAGUACUGUGAAGGGCCAGAGUUGUUUCUGAUAAGCAUGUGUUCAGUCAAUUCUAGUUCAUAAGUACAUGACCAUGCAGGGAAUGUCAGCAUGCUCAACUCCAAACAAAGAGCUCUUAGGCUUUUAGAUCUGGCACUUGUCAAUUUCCUACUAGGUCUCUCCUCUCCCCCAUUCUCCUCAUAAUUUUCUGGUUAUCUGGCAACUGCACAAAAGGAAAUCACAUGUAGCUGCUGCUGUGAAAUACCCAGAAAGUCAUCUUUGAGAAAAACCAGCACUUCCAAGAAAAAACAAUGACACUCAGUUCAGGGGGGAAAAAUCAACAGCAACAAAAAACUCCUCUGGGAUUAGUCACAUCCUGAAGACCCAGAGAGGUUUGUGAUUACUUGGUGAACUCACUAAAGCUCUGUGAAAUCAAAUGCUUCCAAAUGGUGAAUUGAUGAGGAUAGAAGAGAGAGCAGUGCAGUGGGUGAGGACUGGGGGGGCGUGGUGUAUGCUCCUGGGGCCUGGGACGUCCAGUAGGCAGGGAGAGGAUGGAGGAUGCAGGACCCAACACUCCUGUCCAUAGGGCUGGAUGAGCAUCUUCCAUCCAGUCUCCGUAGGCCUGAAGUGACUCUGAACCUGAGGCUCUGCAGACUCAUUCCAGCAACUUCCCAAGUCCUGUCUUUGCUUUGAACCAUUGACCAAUGUUUGGGCCAGGGCACUCUUAAGUUCAUUAAGUGAUUUUUCCAGAAGAGAUUUUGUAAGAUAACUGGUCCAUUGGCCAUGCAAAUCUAAGGUAUUGUGAUUUGUUAAAAUUUUGUUAAACUAAUUUUAAAUUGGUUAGCGCAUUUUGUUCUAGAAAAACGUCUUUCUCAGUCCCGUGAGUACCGUGUAGUUUCUUUCGCAAACAUCCAUGUGAUGGAAGUGGAAACUUGUGCCAUUUUAUGAGCUGUAGGAGGAGCCUGCAUUUGAAUGACAGAAAAAGGAAGAACAGGUGGAAAUUUCUGGAUGUGAUUAUAACUUUAGAAACCACCAGUAUUCAUGAUGGUAACACGGGCCCUUUUUAAAGUUGAGUAGGCUUGAGAUUCUACUAGAACAGUGUAGAGAAUUAAAAAAGGUCUGAGAUCAAAUGGACAAAGAUCCCAGAUGGAUCCUGGAGGGAACUGUUGGGUGCUGUCACUACCACCAGCUGUGUGACCUGUAACUUCUUUAAGCAUUAGUUUCCUCAUUUGAAUAAUGCUACUAAUACAGUCUUGUAAGUUAUUUAGUCAGCUGUUAAAGAUCUUCACAAAUAUUUAGGUAGCUACCUAAAUGUACAUCUACACUAUGAUGAUCUUACAUUGAAAUUUUAUUCAUCUUUAAGCAAGUGAUUCUGUUGUCAAAUUGUGAUACAUUAGAGCCAAAAUAUUCAUGGAGGGGAAUACUCCUUGCUUCAGUGGCAAAAAUAUGAAUGAAUUUAAGGGUUAGAGCUCAAGUUACAUUUCUUCUAUUUUCUGUCCAAUUUGGAAAACUGUGAUCAGGUUUUUAAAAAAGGGGCAAAUCAUCUCCUGGAGGAAAGGGACACUGGGAGCUGCAUGUACAUGGAGUUGUUGUCUCGUUGUAUCCAGAUGUUAAGAUCCUCCUGCCUGUCAGUUUACAAGCUUUCUGUUGGUUGACUGCUGCAUGCUGAGGGAUGAGGUAGAUAGACCCUGUGGGUGCUGCUCUCUGUACAUCUCCCUGCACUGAAGAGGGGCUGUGUACCUUGAGGAGGGAGCUAAGUUAGCACUUACUGUGCACACGGCGGUGCCUGGUGAUGGUGUUCUGUCCAGGAGUGACGUGCUGCCGGAAAUAUUUCAUGACACCCCGUUGAACAAUCUAGAACUUUAACAUGCACAGAAAUGGUCCAUGGUCCUAGCUUCUGAGCCCUGAUCAGCUGCGGGAAUCGGGUUGAGAGAUCUUUCACUGGAACCCGUGCCCAGGACAACCUCUGCUGUCUCCUGAGACAACCAUCAUUCAUUCUCUUUCUCUCUCCCCUCUCCAUCUGUUAUCUUUAUCUGUUUCUGUCUUUUUCUUCCUCUUCUUCUCUCUCAAAGUAUUUUCCUUGCCCUUCGCUUCUUCCUUUUCUUCUCCCCACCCCCACCCUUUUCUGUCCUCACUUUUUGGGCUAAGGAGGGAUCUGCCUGAUGAGGUUUGCUGGUAUCUUCCCUCUGAUGUUCUCAUGGAUUUUCCUGAUCUUCUUGACUCUGGCCUGAACCAUGCCAUUCAAGAGGGGUGAACACUUCCCUUUCAGGGAGAAGGAGGAUGGAUUUUUAAUGACCGUUCUGUUGAGACUAGUUUCUCUCUCUAUGGAAAGGGUGCUCACUGGGCAGCUAAGACUUGAAGUCAUCAUCUCCUUCCCCAAGCCCACCGGGUGACAGUGUCACCAGUAAGCGCUGCUAAGCAUUCACCUCAGCCAUGGAUGUAGUCUUUCUCUUUGAUGAUGAAGGCUAUUGUCUUUCUGAUUGUAGAUCGAGGAGACUCGGCUCAACAUUGACAAGAUCUCAGAGCAUGUGGAGGAAGCAAAGAAACUCUACAGUAUCAUUCUCUCUGCACCAAUUCCAGAGCCAAGUGAGUGUUUACUCAGCUGAGUCACCCAGUGGUGACCUUUUGCAUCGGGGCAGAGGCAUUCCUGUUUUCCUCACCUCUGUGAACAGCAGGGAGGUGUCCACAUCACCCUGGACUAAUGUCCACAUCAUAUCACCUCUUUGAUUUCUUUACCUUAUCUGAGUUCUCACUGCCCAGCCGUCAGCUCUUCCCUUUAUGGUCCCUCUUGAACCACUUACCCAGUCUCUCCUCUGCUUCCCAGCUGGACCCUCCUGUGGCUGGCAGUGACUCUUACUGCUUCCUACAUACUCCAUGCUCUGUCCCCCGUCUCUGCCUUCAUUUAUACUAUUUCCUCCACCUGAAAUGCUUUUCCCAGCCCCCUUUCUCAAUCCCACCAGAUCAAGUCCACCUUUCCCAUGAGGUGGUCACGUAGGGUUCAGUUUCACAGGACUCCUGUUCCUAAGCUUUUUUUUUUUUUUUUUUUAAACCACCACAGAGGCAAACUUUUGUUCCUCUUAAUAGUAGGGGGAAUACAUUUUGAGAGUAAAAUUUAGGGCUCCAUUUCCUGUUCCUUAAGAACAGGGGCAAGCCCAAUUCUGUCAUUUCACUCUACUUUUUUUCAAUGACUAUUACCUCAAGAUUAAAGUUGGAACAUUUUAGCAGAGCAUAUGGGAGUCGUGCUGGUCGGGUUCCUGCCCUCCUCUCCACCUUUUCUCCCACCCUGCAUGUUCCCAUGUUACUUAUACUUUAGUCAGACUAAAUUCUGUUCUCCAAAUAUUUGUUAUUCCCUCUUGCAUGUUGUGCCUGCUCCUUGGGGCUCCAAUGCCAAUCACCUUCAGUACCCGGUUAACCCUUAGUCCUUCUUUGAGACUCUGUCCUACUUUCCUCAUCUUUAGAAGCUUUCCCAGAUCCCUAUCAAUCCCUAGCUGUGCCAGGGAGCCCUUUAUAACACCUCGUCAGAACUGCAGCCUACUCCAAACUGUAUGUCAGGACUGUUAGUUUAUUUUGCUCCCACCCCUCUCUAGACUUCGAGCACCUUGGAGGCGGAUUCUACAUCUUCUUUCUGAUUCCUUAGUUUCUAGCCCCAUUCCAAGCUUGUAGUGGGGUGCCAAGGACGGUUUUUGAAUGAAUGGUUAUAGCUAACAUCUGUUUUGCUCCAUCCAUCCCAGGAUAGUCCUGGACAUGGAGUAGGUGUAUCAAAAAUACUUGCUUCAUUCUAAGUUGAUGAACCUUGACUGAUAUCUCUUUCACCUAGAAUUCCCGCAGAAUUCUCUCCUACCCUGUGAGAUUAAGCCCGCAUCAUAAACCAGGUGGUUUCCUCCAAAAGAAAAGUUCUCAAAACUGACUUGGGGAGGUUUGUUGAAAAAGCAGAUUCUGGGGCUUAAACCCUGGGUAUUUUCUUCUGUACAUCUGGAAAAUGGUAACUGGAGAAUGCCUUUUAUUUUAAUCAAAUAUUAAUUUUGGGGGUUGCAAGGGAUUGAACCCAGGGCUUCAUGCAUAGGAUCCAGCGUUGAGCUAUGCAUUCAGCCUGAAAAUGCUUUCUAAACACACGCUCUCAGAUUCUAAUGAUAGACUCUGGGAAACACAUUAGGAUGAUACUGUUGAGAGCAGUGGGUGCCUAAGCUCCCACACCCUUUGCUGAUGGUUGUAAAAGAAGUUAGUCCUUCCUUUUCUAAUGGCUUCUACCUCCUCUGUUUACCCAGAAACCAAGGAUGACCUUGAGCAGCUCACAACCGAGAUCAAGAAAAGGGCCAACAAUGUCCGGAACAAACUAAAGAGUAAGAAGGGAACAGGGGAACAAGCUGACCCCUGCCACCAUCCACUCAGCUCCCUGCAUGUACCUCCUCUGAACUGACAGUCACCUGGAUGAAGUGACCACUUGUCCAUGUUUGCUUAUGGUUUGGGCACUGUCCCUGGAGUGACCUAUGGCAGCCCCAGAAAGUCCCCUUCUCUUGAAUCUUGACUGUAGUUGAAAGAGUCCAGAAUUGAAGUUAGGAGAUGGGAGCUGGAAUGUGCUUCAGCUACUGGCCUGGUCCUUUUGCUCAGUCCAUGGGUGUAUUCUUAUUGGUUCUGUUUCCCCAGCACCCAGCCGACAUUGGAGUAGUAAUUUUAGACAUACAUACACGCAGGAUUUAUUCAGUUCACAGAUGUUUCUUGGUGGGCACCUCCCAUUGCUGCCCACCACCUAUUUCAGAGCAUAGAUCCAAUUCUUUUGGGGAACAAAGGGUUUCCACAGUUCCAUGGCUGCAGUCUGUAUGCUCGCUCAAAGUACUUGGUGAGUACGUGCACUUGCUCAGAUGAGAAAUCAGAAUCACUGAGCCUAGCUUGUCAUUUCUUCCCCCCAAAUAAAUUACAGUAACUAUUGUAAUGGGUGUGGAAAGGGGGUUGUUGGAAGCAGCUUCCAAAAAUAAUAAUGAUAGUGUGGCUACCGCUGUGCUAAUAAGCACUUUAUGUGCAUUCUCAUUUAGCCUUCACGUUGGUCCUGUGAGGAAUGUACAAGUUGAGCUUCCCUAAUUUGAAAAUCCAAAACCCAGAAUGCUCUAAAAUCUGAAACAUUUUGAGCACUGAUAUGACCCAAGUAAGAAAUUCUACACCUGACUUUAUGUGAAGGAUCCCAGUCCAAAAACAGAUGCACUAAAAAUAUGAUGUAAAACCCUUUAGGCUGUGUUUAUAAGGUGUGUAAGAGAGAAAAGAAUUUUGUGUCCUAACCCCUAGAUAUCUCAUUGUGUGCAGGCAAAUAUUCCAAAAUCCAAAAAAUCUGAAAUCCAAAACAUUUCUGCUCCUAAGCAUUUCAGGUUAGGGAUACUCAACUAGUAUUGGCAUUUGUGUCAUUUUAUAAACAAGAGAAUGAAACAUAAGAGAGUAUAAGUGACUUUCCCAAAGUCACAGAGCUGGUCAGCAGCAGGGCAAGGAUUUGAGCUAGUCUCUUGGUGACCAAGACUCAGACCUGGUAUUGUGUGGUAAAGGCUAAUGAAAGCAGGUCUGUGGCUCACAUGAGCUGACCUUGAGGAUUACUCCUCCCUGUCGUUUCCCCUUCAUGGGUGUUGUGUGUGAGCAUGGGGGGGAGGUAUGUUUCUUAGAAAGAAGAGGAGCUGCAUUGCCGGAAUGACCUUCUUCUCAUUCCAGGCAUGGAGAGGCAUAUUGAAGAAGAUGAAGUCCGCUCAUCAGCAGACCUUCGGAUUCGGAAAUCUCAGGUAAAGUUGUCCCUGAUCUGACAAUCAUCUUCUCCAAUUCUUAUUUUCUUUCUUUUUCUUAAGCUGUGGAGUCUUUUUUAACAAAAAUUACAAUUCUUAUUUGGAACUCGAUAUGAAAAACUGCUAAAGUCGAACUAUCCAGGUUGAAGCAGGGGUCAUGGCUAGAGUCCAGCCCCUUUGGGCCCUUUUCUCACACUCUCCUUCUCUAAGGGGGGCCUUAAGAACUUCCCAAGACUCCCCAAAGCAAUGUUAGUGCCUCCUUGUUUCACAGGCAAAGAAACUGAGGUCUUUUUUGAAAAGACUGUUAGUCAUUAGUUCAGUUUGGAGCCAGGAACUUGGGGGAUCAUCUGUAUCCUUCAGGAGCUGCAUGACAUUCAAGUGGCCGUGGAACAAGUAUCCAGCUGGAAACAAGUGAGGAAGAGCAAGAGGCUGGUGAAUCUCUAGUCAGUUUUACCGUGACUGAAUUUGCCUGGUGGUAGUGGAUUUGGAUAAAAUAGAGAUAAUGGUGAUUUUGCAAAAGGCAAACAAAUAAGGCUUAUUUCUGAGAGGUAGGCAAGGAGUAAAAGUUGUUAUGAAGGUUUGAGCUGAAGCAUCCAGGGCUACUAGAGAAUGUAUCUACCAAUAAGUAAAGAAAGUUGAGGUGACAAGUUAAAGUAAGAACUCAAGGAUCUUCGGUAGCAUGACCUGUGGGAAGGGAGGCUGACAGCUUUAGAAAACAAGCCAGGGGUGUGCCAGAAAACUUCUACUAGUCCAGGUAGUUGUAGGGCUCCAGGAUUCCCAGAGAUGGUCUCCUUUUGCCUCUUAAUUACCAUGUGAGGUCAGGAGGAUAGACAGAUACUGCAACCAUGCUUUGGAAUAGCAGUAGACUUAUCCAGUGAUCCAAGCUAGGAAGUAAAAAAAAAUAUCAUACUUGGUCUUUUGAGUCCCAGCCUAGUGCUGCUGUAGACGAGGCUGUGGAGGGUGGGGUGGGGAAGGGAAGAAGCUCUACAGCAGUUGUGCACCUUUUCCCUCCCUCACUUCCGGGGGACAUACUCAUCUAACAUUGUUUCCACAGCACUCCGUCCUCUCUCGGAAGUUUGUGGAGGUGAUGACCAAGUACAAUGAGGCUCAGGUGGACUUUCGUGAACGCAGCAAAGGGCGAAUCCAGCGGCAGCUUGAAAUUAGUAUGUGUUUAAGGUUUGGCGUGUGACCCUCCUCCCUCUUUUCCUACUAUGUGAUUGUCCAUUCCAAGUUGUGACACUAUAGGAGAACAAGCAGCAAGCACCCCUGCUUGUGGCUUCUGCUUGAUAUUUUGUGCCCAAUCUCAGAGCAGAUGUUACAGCAUUGGCACAUCCUGCAUCUUGGGAAAGGUGGCACAUGGUUGUCAGGUCCAAGUCAUUUUAUCCCAGUGGAGUCCAGCACUUUUUCAUCCUAGAGGGGAAGCACGCACCUGCUUCCCCUCGUUUUUGCCGUCAAGUAGCAAAGCACAUUUGUGAAAUAAGAGCGUGGUGCAGAUUGCCAUGAGGAAUAAGGACAUGCAUAAAGCUGUGCCCUUUAGGAACUUGUGAUAUGGAAGGCAGGGCCCCCUGCAGGGUGAGCGUGCUUCAAGUGGGAUGAACUGUAUGAACAGGCAUGCAUGUGUGUUUAGGUUGUAGGCCAUCCGGGGUCUGGGAAAAAGGGUGUGUUUGGAGUGGCAGUGUAAGGUUAAGAUGGUCGAGGGAAGGCUUCCCGUGAACUGUACAUUGUAAGGAAGGCCUUGUAGUCUGUAGCGUAGAGCAUGAGGUUAGUACACAGCCCGAACUGGGAAGUGAUGUGAGCACCAUGAUCUGUACUUUAGGAAAGGAGCUGCUAUUUCUGUUAUGGAUGGAUUGGAUGAGGGGAGGAAUCAGAAGAAAAACAUCGGGAGGCUUUGGGGGCAGUGUUGUAGAGAUCCUGGUCUUUAGAAUGAAGCAACCAGAUUCUUAAUUUUCAGGAAACUUUAAAAAUGGAGUUGUGCUUUGAUCUUGAAAUUGAUGCUCUACUUCUUUUGUUAUAAAGCUGGCAAAAAGACAACAGAUGAGGAGCUGGAGGAGAUGCUAGAGAGUGGCAACCCUGCCAUCUUCACUUCUGGGGUGAGUCAUGUGGCCUGGGAAGCUUCACCUGGUCUAGCAAACACAGGAUAAGCUGCAGCUGCAGGGACAUAGGGGAUGUGAGGAGCCCACCUGGGUGUGUAUGAGGGCAGCUGCAGGGGCAGCCUUGAUUGCAGGGGAGGCUGAUGGCCUGUCUGUGUGGCCUGUUGCAGAUCAUCGACUCGCAGAUUUCCAAGCAAGCCCUCAGUGAGAUCGAGGGGCGGCAUAAGGACAUUGUGAGGCUGGAGAGCAGCAUUAAAGAACUUCAUGACAUGUUUAUGGACAUCGCCAUGCUGGUGGAGAACCAGGUAACUGGCAGGGACGGAGGAGAGGAAAGCUCAGGUUCCCCUGAGAACAGCGGAGGAAAGGCGUAGUGGAAGUCAGGUGAGGAAGGGUGAACCAGGGAACUGCAUAACAGGAGCAGAAUUCCAUAGCUCAAGGAGGUGCGCAUUCCCAUCAAAUGCUGGCGCCUUGGGCCGCCUCAGCCUUAUCUUUCUUGUCCGUUACUUGACUUCACAGUCAUUGCUAGCUGACACAGAGUCUGAUAUGUUAUAUCAAAUGCCUAGUUCACCCAGCCUCAGGAUUUUUUUCCCUCUUUUUUUUUUAAUAUAUUUUUUUUAGUUGUAGUUGGACACAGUACCUUUAUUUCACUUAUUUAUUUUUAUGUGGUGCUGAGGAUUGAACCCAGAGACUCACAUGUGCGAAGCGAGUGCUCUACCGCUGAGCCACAACCCCAGCCCCCUCCUUCUUCUUUUUUUUCAAAUUAGAGAUAGGGCUUCUUGGUGAUGGCUUAAACAGUCUCCUCAUGUGAGACUAAUGACGUUGAAAAUGUGUUCUUUUAUCCAGUUAAUAGUGACAAUUUAGUGAAACCUAAAGAGGAUUUUGUUCUUUUUUUUUUUUUUUUUUACCUGUGUUUUUCUGAAAAUUUGGCAAUUUUUUUGUUAAGGAACAAGAACAAACAUAAGGGAAAAAAUAGUAAAAGAAUAAGAACAGAAAAUCUUGGAAAACUCAGGGUGCUGAGUUUGGUAGGGUGCUGAGGAUUGAAUUCUGUAUUACCUGCAUGUGGGGUUAGUGUCACAGCACCAGAUGGUCCCGAUCUCUUAGGACACAGAUAUAUAUGCCACAGGGUCAUAGUGCUGUGACACGUUUACCAGGAAUUUCCAGAUGCUCUGCCACCUGGAUAGGAUUGGAGACUGCUUCUUAGGAAGACAGUGCAAAACCUAGGUGAAGCCUGAGUGUGUCUAGCUAUUUCUGACAUCAGUUCUGUGCUCUGGGCCUGAUUCUUACCCCCACCUCCUUCUGGUUUUGAGACCAUUUCUCAAGUCCCUUCCUCCCCACUUUCUUUUUUCACCCCACACUGCCUUGCCGAGGAACGGGUUUGAGAUUCAAGUGAUGGUAAGUGCCUUGCUCUGUUCACAGUGGGCCAAACGUGAUGGGGUUACACUGAGGAAGUCCUGGGGAAAUGAGGGUAAUUUCCAUUCUCAGACACACAGGAAUUAACCAGAAUGGCCAAACAUCAAUGUCAGGAAGUAAUAGUUGGGCAACAUUUGAGAAUCUUAUUAUGAAACAACCAUCUAGGAAGGAAGAUAUACCCAAACAGCUUGGGUAAACCCGCUGUCUGACCUUAGGGACCUGGGGAUUUCUCUUGGAGAAAGCAAAUGUUUCCAACCUCAUACUUAUUGCAUACCUACUGUGUGCCAGGCACUACUCUACAAUAUUGAGCAAGGUCAGUGUGUGCUGAAUGAACUUUCAGGUCUGAAUGACCAGGAAGAGGCCAGUACCCUGGUGAUACUCUGAAAACAUGAGAUAUAUAGCUCCUCCCCAUAUACUUAAUUUAGAGAGAGAGAUAUGGGUGAGGGAUCCCUCAAGAGUAUAUUCAUAUGUAGUUAACAGGCAUCUAGACAGUCUGCUGCACAUGUCCAGCACAGUGCUGGUUAUAGAGAAGUAGUUCAAUGAACGUCCCUUGAAUGAGUGACCCCCAUCAAGGCUGCGAAGUAUAGGUAGUCACAUGGGAAAUGCAAAGAUGUGACCUACAGAAGGUGGAGUUUCAAGGUUUCUCGAUGCUCCUCUUCCCUAAAGGUUCUAAGUGGCUAGGGCUGUUCUGGACAGGUUAACUGGGUGUGACUCGUGUCUAUUCUCUGCAGGGCGAGAUGUUAGAUAACAUAGAGUUGAAUGUCAUGCACACAGUGGACCAUGUGGAGAAGGCACGAGACGAAACUAAAAGAGCUGUGAAAUAUCAGGGUCAGGCCCGAAAGGUGAGAUUCUCCUGCUACCUUCAGAGAAGGGUCCAUUUUGUUUGCUGUCUCUCGCUCUUUCUCUCUUCCCUCCUCCUGUCUCUGUUUCUGCUGCUGCCUCCUCUUGCACCUGGGGAAAGGGAACCAUGAUUGACCGGAUUGAGAACAACAUGGACCAAUCAGUGGGCUUUGUGGAGCGGGCCGUGGCAGAUACCAAAAAGGCUGUCAAGUAUCAAAGUGAAGCUCGGAGGGUGAGCGCCUUAUCCUCUGCUGGUGGUACUUGCCUCUCCUCUCUGGUCACCCCCACCUGUGUCUCUGGGCCCGUGCCUUUGAGCUCUGUCCUUGCCUCAUCAUACCCUCCUUCCCUCAGCCUUUCCUAGAGACUAGCUGCUCACCCUUCCUUCCUAGUGUGCCUUGCAUGGAUCUGGCUCACGUGCUCUCUACCCAAGAACAUGCUCAGCAGGCAGCUCUGCAGGACAGAUGCAUGGUCCAGGUCUUGCUGCUAGUCCUGUCCUGGAUGUAGCUCAUGAACCUUUCAGACACUACACUUGCCUCUUCUGUUCUUCUGACUCUUUCUUUUCAUUGUCUUCCACUCCAGUAGCCCAAGCCCGGCCCACUUUUCUUUUUCUCUGUCUCAUACCUUGCACUGUGCUAAUUGCUACGUACAUAUCUCAUAGCUGUGGAGGUGUCUAUUUUUUCUACUUUUAGAUGAAACAAUUGAGGGCCAGAAGUUAAGUAACUGGCUUCAGGUCAUCUAGUAAAUACAGGAGCUGGGUCUCAGAUUCAGAUCCCAAUCAUGCUUUUUCCACUAAACCUUGGUGUUUGCCUUCUCUUCUGGGCCUUUGCUGCUCAAGGACUUAUAAGAUGCUCUACUCAUUGAGUGUGGGUAUCCAGUUUGGGGAGCUUCUUCCAUUUACUAAUUUUAUUUCUCAUGGGCUCUGAUAUUUUUGUUCUCCAAUGCCUUUUCUUCCAACUGCAUCUAUUGCUUAUGCUGGUACUUAGGGAGCUGGAAGUUAUUUUAUGGGAUGAACCCAUUCAGUAUACUGGGUCUGAUAGGUAGAGGUGGACUUUAGGGGACAGAUGAAAAGAAGUUAGAAAUUAGGAUUAAGCCAGGUGUGGUGGCACAUUCCUGUAAUCCCAGUGGCUCUGGAGGCUGAGGCAGGAGGAUCUCGAGUUCAAAGCCAGCCUCAGCAAUGGCGAGGCACUGAGCAACUCAGUGAGACCCUGUCUCUAGAUAAAAUACAAAAUAGGGCUGGGGAUGUGACUUAGUGGUUGAAUGCCCCUGAGUUCAAUCCCUAGUAUUAAAAAAGAAAAAUUAGGACUCUAUAAAAAUGUGUUUAUACUCCUUAAAAAGGAAUGCUUAGUCACUUUAUGUCUUGGAUAAUUGCUACUUGGAGACCCCAUGGUGGUGUCUCUUACUACAUUUGUCCACAUUUAUAAGACUGUAGUGUGAACUGAGAGCUAAUACAAGCUCCAUAUUUCCAUCUGCUGGCAUUGUUAGUCUAGAAGUAAUUUAAGAUAUCCUAACUGAUAUCCUUAUAUAGAGUUGUAAGCUGCUGCUGCUUCUUUCUUCUUUCUUCUUUUUUAAAAGGAAAAAGAAGAUUUAUUGCUUUGCUAGCAAAGGAGAAACACAGGGGACUCCUGUCCCAAAGGCUGUGUUACUGAGAUGUAAGCUGAUAAUUUGGAUUGAUAAGAUAGAUGCUUUCUAUCAGAGAUGAGAGGGGUUGGGUUUUAGAUGAAUUGCUUUUUUUUUCCUGUAAUAAUGAUUUGUUUUUGUUUGUCUUAUUCCCUUCUCCAGAAAUUGAUAAUUAUCAUUGUGAUAGUAGUUGUGUUGCUGGGCGUUUUAGCAUUGAUUAUUGGACUUUCCGUUGGGCUGUAAUGAGUGGCCUGCGGGGCUGCUGCACUGAAAUGUAAGUAAAGGGGUGGUUCUCAGGGACUCUGAACUGGCUUCCCAUGAGGAAACUGGCCUGGGACUUCACAUUCCUCUUCCUUCCUCUAAUGACUGUCCUUGGGCAUAAUGAAUUUUCUAAAACUUUUGGUAGCCUGUGGAUACUUUCAUCUCCUUAAAAUUCUCUUCUCAGAUCUGGCUGCAUCAGAUGGGUCAGGUCUCCUUUUGUUCCUGUUCUUUAAACUGUCCCUGUCUUCUGUUUUCUCUUGAGUGUCUCCCGGCAUACCUGAGCAUCCCAUUAACACCCAGGUGGAUGUGAGGGAGUCUGUGUCUUGGAUCUGGGGUCUGUCUUCUGAAUUCCUACUGAAUUCCUACACAGCUCUUGGGCUUUGCUUUCUAUAUCCUCGUCACUGUGAAUGAAGCUUUGUAUUGGGGUUUGGAUCCUGUAGUUUUGUUUGUGGCUGACUGGUGUGAUCUUGAAUGAGGUUAUAGCUAACAUUUCCCAAGUACUGAGUUGUAGCAAACAAUAUACUACACAACUUGUCCGUGGAUCAUUGAAUCUGUAGGAUACUCUCAUGGGAUAGGUAGUGCUAAUGUGCACAUUUUAGAGAAAUUGAGUCUUAAAGAGAAGUAAAGUUGAAUAGCACUAAGUUCACACAGCUAAUAGUGGAUCUAGGAGAGUUCUUUAUUCUUUACUACAUUUUACUUUGUCUUUGUAAAAUAAGGUAGCUAUUUAUCAUUGUCUACAAAGUCUAGAGAAUUUUUCAGAGUGACUUUAAAAUCAGUGCUAUUAAUUUUCUUAAAAAUUUGUUUUUAAAAGAUAGGGCUGAUCAUUAAGUAGCAAUUAGCAUGACAGAAUGAUCUAGUUAUGAAGACUCUGUGACUUUUAAGAUUUUUUUUCUGAAUAAAAUGUAGCAUGUGUAGUUUUUUUAAAAGCCUAUAAAGUAUAGAAGAAAUGAAAGUAGCUUUAAUGUUAUUGCUAGUAACCCUGUAGCAUGUUCACACACAUACUCAGUUUUAUACAGUUCAAACUAUAUUAUCUAUUAUUUGUGCCCAGUGACAAAAUCAUAAGGAUCGUCCCCCACACAAAUCUCUUUGUAAAUCUAAUCUUCAACAUGAGAUUGUGGAUAUGCUUUCAAAUAGUUAACACUUUCUCAACAUUGGAGUUUGAUUUUUUUGUUAUAACGCAGUGUGACUAACCUUAUGUAACAUUUCCCCCCUUUUUAUUUCUUCCUCAUUGUAAAUUCACAGAAGUUGAGUUUCUGAGGUAAUAGAGACAAACAUUUUUCAGACUUGAUGCAUACUUCCUUAUUGAGACCCAGAGCUGCCCCUUCGUGUUUUUGUACUUAGUUCCAGUGUGUUUCUUCAUUCCUCUUUUUUCCUUGUGACGAGCAGGUCUGAAAGUCAGAUUAUUAAUCAUAUCACUAAACAUACCUCUUCUUGAGAGAAAAACAGUAGCUAGGUGACCGGCUUCUCAGAGGCACUUAAUUAUUGGUGUUUUUUUUUUUCCUUUUUUCUGACAUGUGCCAUGUAGUCCUUGAUGGCUUCUUGACUGUAAAGAUAUUGAGUUUUGUCCUGAAUCUUAACUAUCUCAUUGGAAAAGAUGUUUUUUUUUUUUUUUUUUAAAAAAAGGUGUGAUAGCUAUCUUCCCAUAUCCUUGGUUGAUAGAUGCCUUCCAAAUUCAUGGUGCCCCUUGCAAAUUCAUGCCCAUUUCCAGGAGUCCUGAUUGUAAAUGAAUCAUUUUUGAGGUGACUCCUCAUGGAUAGGAGACUAAUACAUUGUUUCUAGUUGACUAACCCCUUCUAUAAGAUGCUAAUUUGCUGAAAAGUUGCUCCUCAUGGUUCAUUCCAUAUUCCCUAACAAAGUCAACACUUACAUUACCUAGGUUUGGACACCCUCAUCCUUGCCACCUGAGGGGAUGAGGUCUCUGAAUAGGAGGGAAUGAAGGCAAGCUGGGACUAUGCUCCCUGGACAUACAUCAGCUAUAGCUCUAAGAUACUAUCAAUAUCCCCAAUUUAGAUGGGGAAACUCUUUGAAGCUCAGUGAAGUUAAGAAAUUGGCCAAGCUUACGUAGAUUAUAAGGUGGAGCAGUCAUAAUAUGACAUUAGAACUUUCCCAUAUUCUUUUCAUUUUGCCCUUCUGCUUUCUAAAGGGCAUAGAAAUUUGAGUACCAGAAGGCUCUGGAACCUAGUAUUCAAGAGGGGAGCCAGAGAACUGAUGUUUUUAGCCAGCAGUGAUUGCCCCCACCCAAGUCUUCCCAAUAUUGUGACAGCUUGUCUCUCUCACACAGACUUAUACAAGGCCCACAGAAUUUGCUUUCUGUUGCUCCCUUAGUUGGGAUCUUUGUUCUUUUGCAGUGGAAUAUUUAAUCCCAGGCCCUAUCUGGGUUUGUUGGUUGGCUUUCUUUUUUUGUAUUUUUUAUAUUCUUUUGCAGUUGCUUCUGAUCAUUGUACCUUCCAGGGUUGUGAGUGGUUUCUCCUGUUGCUCCUCCUCCUCAUGUGGUACGCUGAUCAGCUCCUCUCCCCGCCUCUCUUAGAACCUGAUUUCACUCCAGCCUGGUGGGACCACCUUUAUCUUCAGAUGGGAAUGGAGUCUGAAUGGCCUUCCUGAGAGCAAAGGGAACCCGUUCCUUUGUUUCCUUGUAACCAUCCUUGGACCUGACUCAGCAAUCAAUCUAGCCCUGGAGGAAUCUAACCUUCCUGAUGCAACCCCAAGUUCUCCUCAAAACCAACUCCUGCCCCAGCAACUGAAGUACCUUUCCUCCUGGACCAUAUGAACUGACCCAGAUUUUUCCCUUCUGUGGUGUGUCAAAUUAUGCCUUGCACCUUGGAAAUCCCAUGUGAGACUAUCCCAAGGUGCUGCAUCUUCUACCUCAUGGAGUAUACUCCCAGAAAUUACAGUGUAUUUUUCUAGGGUAGUAUCUUUAACAAAGCAGAUGGAUUCUUCUAAAUUUGGCAACAAUAGGGUUUAGAUGGGAGACUUCUGCAUGGCAGGAUGCCAGUCCUGUCGGUCCUGAAAACAUGAGUGACUGGCAGAUGCCAUUUUGGUCCAAAAAGUUGACUUGCUUGAAAUUCAACUUCAAAUUAAGCUUUUAAUAAGAUCAACCUGGGGGCCAAUUUGGUCUUUCUCUAGGUUGUGUUCUCAUGUUUACUCAAAGCGGGACCAAGAUGAUAGUCAUCUGAGGUUGCCAUUUUCAAAGGCUGAGGAUUUGGAAUAUUUGUUUCCCUAUGAAUUUUGGAAACUGGCUUUUCACCUUUGGAGUGACUCUUUGUGAAGCUGUUGCCCUGAGGCCAAAAUUAACCAGGGAUUUAAAAUUGGGCUGGGGACAAGGUGCUAGAGUCUCAGACUCUGAAAAGGUUUCAUGAGGCUGAGUGUUCAGUCACUCAUGUGUUCAGGUGUAUUUUUAAAAGUGUGUAUGUGAGAUGCAUGUACAUAUAUAUGUGUCUGUUUCUCAGGAAAUAGGAAACUAGAAAAGAAAGAUACUAUAACCUCAAAAAUUAAAAAAAAAAAAACUUUUUUGAGCUAGACUAAAAAUUAGAUAAGUUGCUUUUGUCUACCUGCAAAUGAAUCAUUGUAGAAAUAUGAUCAUCUUAUGUCAUCAACAAAGUUGUUUUCUAGAAGAGAACUGGGAGAAUCAAAUGAGAUAUUCAGACUGAGGACUGAGUUGAUUUCUGGUUUCUGUGCAGCAGGUACAGGUGUAAUGGUUUGACACCUCUCCCUAUCUGCUGCCUCCACUAGGCUUUCCCUGAGAACAUCCCACAGCAAUCCACAUGACCUAUGGGAUGUCCUGUCUUAGAUGGAGUUAGUUGGGAGAGACCGGAGACUACCUGCUACUGGGUGAAUGAGCUUGACAGGUUCUUUGUUUUCCCCAGUUCUUGUCACAGAGGAAGCAACAGCCAGGAAAUUUUCGUGUAGUGACUGCUAAGCUGUAGGUAGCCCCUUAGAUCCCUGUCAGUCUCCCUGAUUUUGGGUACUAGCUGUAUUUCAGCUUUGACAGUAAUGCUUUCUAAGGAAGAGAAAGCACCCUGAUCCAGACACUGCCUAUUAGCUUCCUGUGCAAAGGCUCCUCACUUCUCACUACCCAGCACUCAGACAGAGCCACAGGGAUGCCUUUCUCCCCAUGGCUAUGAUGUUAGAAGACAGGCUGUAAUCUCAGGCCUUUACUGUCAUCUGAGACUGAGGCCUGGGGCUUAAAGUUUGGAAUGCAACACAUGAAGGGUUUUUGUAUUUUUUAAAUGUAAAUUUGAUUAUUUUAUUGCUAAUUUAAAAAUAAAUGACUUUCUAAAGAUUGCAAAUCAGUUCUGUCUCUUAUCUCCCUGCAAACACUUGGUGAUCUGGUGCCACCA
RNAcentral lists this long non-coding RNA (40164 nucleotides) under Marmota monax (woodchuck). The record is from RNAcentral. Lineage: Eukaryota; Metazoa; Chordata; Mammalia; Rodentia; Sciuridae.